Molecule: ribosomal RNA, 31 nt
Filed under: Geranium ibericum
Lineage: Eukaryota; Viridiplantae; Streptophyta; Magnoliopsida; Geraniales; Geraniaceae
Description: partial 26S ribosomal RNA
Source: RNAcentral
GCGACCCCAGGUCAGGCGGGGSUACCCGCUG